RNAcentral lists this ribosomal RNA (376 nucleotides) under uncultured bacterium. RNAcentral's name for it is "bacterial SSU rRNA". It matches the Rfam family "Bacterial small subunit ribosomal RNA", at positions 331 to 701 of the family's 1533-position model. The record is from RNAcentral.
CUACACCCUACGGGAGGCAGCAGUGGGGAAUAUUGCACAAUGGGCGCAAGCCUGAUGCAGCCAUGCCGCGUGUGUGAAGAAGGCCUUCGGGUUGUAAAGCACUUUCAGCGAUGAGGAAGGUGGUGAGCUUAAUACGUUCAUCAAUUGACGUUACUCGCAGAAGAAGCACCGGCUAACUCCGUGCCAGCAGCCGCGGUAAUACGGAGGGUGCAAGCGUUAAUCGGAAUUACUGGGCGUAAAGCGCACGCAGGCGGUUGUUAAGUCAGAUGUGAAAUCCCCGGGCUCAACCUGGGAACUGCAUUUGAAACUGGCAAGCUAGAGUCUCGUAGAGGGGGGUAGAAUUCCAGGUGUAGCGGUGAAAUGCGUAGAUGUGUAG